GGGGGGUACCACCCUCAGUGCCGAAGGAAACCCAAUAAGCACUCCGCCUGGGGAGUACGGUCGCAAGACUGAAACUCAAAGGAAUUGACGGGGGCCCGCACAAGCGGUGGAGCAUGUGGUCUAAUUCGAAGCAACGCGAAGAACCUUACCAAGGCUUGACAUCCCAUUGACCGGUGUAGAGAUAUACCUUUCCUUCGGGACAAUGGUGACAGGUGGUGCAUGGUUGUCGUCAGCUCGUGUCGUGAGAUGUUGGGUUCAGUCCCGCAACGAGCGCAACCCUUAUCCUUAGUUGCCAGCAGGUAGAGCUGGGCACUCUAAAGAGACAGCCGGUGAAAGCCGGAGGAAGGUGGGGAUGACGUCAAAUCAUCAUGCCCCUUAUGUCUUGGGCUACACACGUGCUACAAUGGUUGGUGCAAAGGGAAGCGAAGCCGCGAGGUGAAGCGAAUCUCAUAAAACCAAUCUCAGUUCGGAUCGUAGGCUGCAACUCGCCUACGUGAAGUCGGAAUCGCUAGUAAUCGCGGAUCAGCAUGCCGCGGUGAAUACGUUCUCGGGCCUUGUACACACCGCC
RNAcentral lists this ribosomal RNA (568 nucleotides) under uncultured bacterium. RNAcentral's name for it is "bacterial SSU rRNA". It matches the Rfam family "Bacterial small subunit ribosomal RNA", at positions 825 to 1394 of the family's 1533-position model. The record is from RNAcentral.